UGUGAUAAAUUAGUCGGGGUACUUUAUAACUUGUUACUGAGGGGCAAAUAUAUUAAAACCCCAGGUGUGGAGAUCUGGUGUUAGUUAGUAAGGUGUAUAAUUUGUUAACAAAUGGGUUUAGAAGUAACCUCUUUUAUUUGGUGUAAAAACUAAUAUAAUUUAACUGUUAACCUUCUUAAAAAACUCAGUGGUAUAUAAACUUAAUUAUGUUACAAUAUGUUAUAAUUAGUAGAUAAAUACUUCUUUGAUGUCUUUCUUUAGCUCGAACUGUUUAUUAAAAACAUUUCCAUAAGUAUGCGUUUAUGGUAGGACCUGCUCAAUGUUGUAUGAAUAGCCGCAGUAUCCUGACUGUGCUAAGGUAGCAUAAUUACUUGUCCCUUAAAUAGGGAAUUGUCUGAAUGGUUGUUUUGGGUUAUACAGUAUCAAAGAAGUGUAGAAGGAAAUUAGUUUGUAAGUAAAGAACCUUACAGUAUAAUAAUAGACGGAAAGACCCCGAGAGCUUGAUAAAAUUUUAUUUGGGGCAAAGAUUUUAAUUUAAAAGAAAUUUGAUCCCGGUGGGUUUAUUGGUAAAGUUACCUCGGGGAUAACAGGGUUAGAAAUAAGGAGAGUUCAUAUCGAUUUAUUUAGUUGCUACCUCGAUG
Molecule: ribosomal RNA, 641 nt
Filed under: Euryhaliotrema microphallus
Lineage: Eukaryota; Metazoa; Platyhelminthes; Monogenea; Dactylogyridea; Ancyrocephalidae
Description: partial 16S ribosomal RNA
Rfam family: Bacterial large subunit ribosomal RNA
Source: RNAcentral